RNAcentral lists this ribosomal RNA (536 nucleotides) under uncultured bacterium. Its description in RNAcentral is "partial 16S ribosomal RNA". It matches the Rfam family "Bacterial small subunit ribosomal RNA", at positions 355 to 883 of the family's 1533-position model. The record is from RNAcentral.
UGGGGAAUUUUGGACAAUGGGCGAAAGCCUGAUCCAGCCAUGCCGCGUGCAGGAUGAAGGCCUUCGGGUUGUAAACUGCUUUUGUACGGAACGGAAAGCCUCUUUCUAAUAAAGAGGGGUUCAUGACGGUACCGUAAGAAUAAGCACCGGCUAACUACGUGCCAGCAGCCGCGGUAAUACGUAGGGUGCAAGCGUUAAUCGGAAUUACUGGGCGUAAAGCGUGCGCAGGCGGUUUUGUAAGACAGAGGUGAAAUCCCCGGGCUCAACCUGGGAACUGCCUUUGUGACUGCAAGGCUGGAGUGCGGCAGAGGGGGAUGGAAUUCCGCGUGUAGCAGUGAAAUGCGUAGAUAUGCGGAGGAACACCGAUGGCGAAGGCAAUCCCCUGGGCUGCACCUGACGCUCAUGCACGAAAGCGUGGGGAGCAAACAGGAUUAGAUACCCUGGUAGUCCACGCCCUAAACGAUGUCAACUGGUUGUUGGGUCUUCACUGACUCAGUAACGAAGCUAACGCGUGAAGUUGACCGCCUGGGGAGUAC